RNAcentral lists this ribosomal RNA (413 nucleotides) under uncultured Rhizophagus. Its description in RNAcentral is "partial 28S ribosomal RNA". The record is from RNAcentral. Lineage: Eukaryota; Fungi; Glomeromycota; Glomeromycetes; Glomerales; Glomeraceae.
GAGAGUUAAACAGUACGUGAAAUUGUUGAAAGGGAAACGAUUGAAGCCAGUCGUACCUUCGGGUAAUCAGCCUUUCGGGUGCGAUUAUGUGGAGUGUGAGGAGCUUAAACACCUUCAUGUUUUGCAUAUUCGUACUCUUGGGUGUACUUGCCCGUGUGGUUGGUUAACAUCAAUUUUGGUGGUCAUAAAAUGACUGGAGGAAUGUAGCUUCGAUCUCGUAUUGAAGUGUUAUAGCCUUCGGUAGAUGUGAUGAUCGAGAUUGAGGAUUGCAACGGAUACCCUUCGGGGCUACCUGUCUGAUCUCUGAUCGUUGUUCUGGUGCCGAAAGCUUGCUUAUGAUGUUAGGGUAUUACGGUCAAAAGGUUAGAACGGAUUAAAUUCGUUAAGGAUGUUGACGUAAUGACUUUAAACGA